UAGUUGUCAUGUCAAAAAACUACUUAGACAGACUAUGAAGAGAUACAUAGGGUGAGAAACGGAGGCCUUCAGCCAACAGCUGGGAGAAGCUGAGUCCCAUCAGCCAUUCAAAAGACUGCAGCCCCAGCCAAGAGUUUGAUGUAACCUCAGGAGAGACCCUGAGCCAGAACCACCUAGAAAAGCUGGGAUACAUGAAGACUGCCAUCCCUUGAGUCACUUGCCCUGUAGCUGCCACUGUUGGAAAAGGGCUUGCUUCUGUGUCCUUGUGCCCACUUUGAAAAUCCCUGGGAAGUCCUUGGAGUCAGAUGAGCAGGCCUCCGCCACUCUGCCAAAAAGUCUGUUCACACAAAUGGGCACUCAACAUCAAUGAAGUAACAGCAAAGUCACAUAAUAAAAGCAUGGAAUUAAGACAAGCUGAAGAUUCGGAUGCAAUAAAACAACCACCCAUUAUUA
Molecule: long non-coding RNA, 453 nt
Filed under: Homo sapiens (human)
Lineage: Eukaryota; Metazoa; Chordata; Mammalia; Primates; Hominidae
Description: HSALNT0318303
Source: RNAcentral